AUGCGAAUAUAUUCUCACCGGCCUAAUCGCUCUGUGGUUUUUGCCGGGCUAGACAUUCGCUAGAUCAUAACUAGACUGUGUCAUCAGAGCCAGCAACUUCAUCUGGUUCUGAUUAUUUAUUGCUAGUUACACGG
RNAcentral lists this small nucleolar RNA (134 nucleotides) under Leptobrachium leishanense (Leishan spiny toad). RNAcentral's name for it is "Small nucleolar RNA SNORA72 (ENSLLEG00000011519.1)". It matches the Rfam family "Small nucleolar RNA SNORA72". Rfam says of the family: U72 is a member of the H/ACA class of snoRNAs. The record is from Rfam by way of RNAcentral. Lineage: Eukaryota; Metazoa; Chordata; Amphibia; Anura; Megophryidae.